AACGAACGCUGGCGGCAUGCCUAACACAUGCAAGUCGAACGAGACCUUCGGGCCUAGUGGCGCACGGGUGCGUAACGCGUGGGAACCUGCCCUUGGGUUCGGUAUAACUCACCGAAAGGGGUCCUAAUACCGGAUAAUGUCUUCGCACCAAAGAUUUAUUGCCUUUGGAUGGGCCCGCGUUGGAUUAGCUGGUUGGUAGGGUAAGAGCAUACCAAGGCGAUGAUCCAUAGCUGGUCUGUGAGGAUGAUCGGCCACACUGGGGAUGAGACACGGCCCAGACUGCGACGGAACGGAGCAGUGGGGUGUAUUGGAGGCGGGGCGAAGGCGUGAUCCAGCAAUGCCGGGUAAGAGAUGAAGGCCGUAGGGUAGUAAUGCUCUUUUACCCGAGAUGAUAAUGACGGUACCGGGUGAAUAAGCUCCGGCUAACUCCGUG
RNAcentral lists this ribosomal RNA (433 nucleotides) under uncultured bacterium. RNAcentral describes it as "partial 16S ribosomal RNA". It matches the Rfam family "Bacterial small subunit ribosomal RNA", at positions 29 to 507 of the family's 1533-position model. The record is from RNAcentral.